AGGUGUUCUUUUUAAUUUUAAGUUUUUAGUUACGAAACUCCAAAAAUAUUCUGCACAGAAGAAAAUGUUUCAGAGAAACCCUAUCCUUAGUGAUUUUUACAAAUACAUCCAGUCCCCCGUGAUGGUGCAAUACAUUGUAUUUAAAGAUGCAGACUUGCAGAAUUAUUAACUAUGUAGCUAGUAAAAUGUAUUCUUAGGAAGUAUGAAUAAAUACAACACUUCCCUUUUUCUGAGCACAUAAAGCACAACAGCGGCUCAGAAGCAGCAGAUCAGUAGUGAAAACCCUCAGCAAUCAUGGAUCCGUCCUCAGCAUCUUAUCAAAUGAUCAUUUUGUCCUGUUUGUUUUUGCUUCUGUCAGCUUUUACACCAGAUGGUGAGUAUCCUACAUACUGCACACACACUGUGUUCUCAAUAGUUUGUUUUAAUGUCAUACUAAACCCGUUUUAGAUUCACACAUAAGUCAAAAUAAUGGACUUCAAGCUAAAAAAGGUACUCAACAUGACACACUAUCAAAUUAAGUCAAUUAAAUUAAUAUCCUAUGCAAUUUGAGAUUUUUAAGCAAAUGUACUGUGUGUCCUGGAUUUUCACAUAUUGUAAUGGAUUUUUUUCAGUGUUACAUUUUCCCCGCAAAGAUGCUGUUGACCAAAAAGGCAAAAUCUGCUUCAGGAAUCCCACAACAGAAGAACCACAGAUUGAAAUCAGAGCUUGUUUCAACCUUCGAAAAACAAGACAUUGUCCUGCGUGUGUGUUGUUCAUUGAUAAAAAGAACAGGAUGUGCUGUAUAAAUCUUAAAGCACCUUGGCUCAGUGCAAAGAUAGAACAUCUAGAAAAGAAGGGGAUAAAGUGUAAAAAUAAACACUGAAAACUAGGCAGCUGUGAAUGUUAUCCAGAGUUUGAACUUCAGCACCCACACUACAAAGAAGAGAGGGGGGGGGGGUCCUAUGCUACGCUAUACAAUCCUGGUUCUUUCAUUCUUUUUCUUUUUGGCUUAGUCCCUUUAUUAAUCCCAUUAUUAAUCCCUUUAUUAAUCCCUUUAUUAA
Danio rerio (zebrafish) is the source of this 1040-nucleotide non-coding RNA. Lineage: Eukaryota; Metazoa; Chordata; Actinopteri; Cypriniformes; Danionidae. The record is from RefSeq and is a predicted model, not a curated record.